GUGGGGAAUUUUGGACAAUGGGCGAAAGCCUGAUCCAGCGACGCCGCGUGUGUGAAGAAGGCCUUCGGGUUGUAAAGCACUUUCGUUGGGAACGAAAUAUGACGACCUAACACGUCGGCAAGCUGACGUUACCCAAAUAAGAAGCACCGGCUAACUCUGUGCCAGCAGCCGCGGUAAUACAGAGGGUGCAAGCGUUAAUCGGAAUUACUGGGCGUAAAGCGCACGUAGGCGGCUACGUAAGUCAGGUGUGAAAUCCCCGGGCUCAACCUGGGAACUGCACUUGAGACUGCGUGGCUAGAGUAUGGGAGAGGAAGGCGGAAUUCCCGGUGUAGCGGUGAAAUGCGUAGAUAUCGGGAGGAACAUCAGUGGCGAAGGCGGCCUUCUGGACCAAUACUGACGCUCAGGUGCGAAAGCGUGGGGAGCAAACAGGAUUAGAAACCCCUGUAGUCC
This 450-nucleotide ribosomal RNA is filed under the name uncultured bacterium. RNAcentral describes it as "bacterial SSU rRNA". It matches the Rfam family "Bacterial small subunit ribosomal RNA", at positions 354 to 796 of the family's 1533-position model. The record is from RNAcentral.